This 490-nucleotide ribosomal RNA is filed under the name uncultured bacterium. RNAcentral describes it as "partial 16S ribosomal RNA". It matches the Rfam family "Bacterial small subunit ribosomal RNA", at positions 30 to 507 of the family's 1533-position model. The record is from RNAcentral.
AUUGAACGCUGGCGGCAGGCCUAACACAUGCAAGUCGAACGGUAACAGGAAGAAGCUUGCUUCUUUGCUGACGAGUGGCGGACGGGUGAGUAAUGUCUGGGAAACUGCCUGAUGGAGGGGGAUAACUACUGGAAACGGUAGCUAAUACCGCAUAACGUCGCAAGACCAAAAAGGGGGACCUUCGGGCCUCUUGCCAUCGGAUGUGCCCAGAUGGGAUUAGCUAGUAGGUGGGGUAACGGCUAACCUAGGCGACGAGCCCUAGCUGGUCUGAGAGGGUGACCAGCCACACUGGAACUGAGACACGGUCCAGACUCCUACGGGAGGCAGCAGUGGGGAAUAUUGCACAAUGGGCGCAAGCCUGAUGCAGCCAUGCCGCGUGUAUGAAGAAGGCCUUCGGGUUGUAAAGUACUUUCAGCGGGGAGGAAGGAAGUAGAGUUAAUACCUUCGCUCAUUGACGUUACCCGCAGAAAAAGCACCGGCUAACUCCGUG